This 496-nucleotide ribosomal RNA is filed under the name uncultured bacterium. RNAcentral's name for it is "partial 16S ribosomal RNA". It matches the Rfam family "Bacterial small subunit ribosomal RNA", at positions 29 to 507 of the family's 1533-position model. The record is from RNAcentral.
AUGAACGCUGGCGGCGUGCCUAAUACAUGCAAGUCGAGCGAACGGACGAGAAGCUUGCUUCUCUGAUGUUAGCGGCGGACGGGUGAGUAACACGUGGAUAACCUACCUAUAAGACUGGGAUAACUUCGGGAAACCGGAGCUAAUACCGGAUAAUAUUUUGAACCGCAUGGUUCAAAAGUGAAAGACGGUCUUGCUGUCACUUAUAGAUGGAUCCGCGCUGCAUUAGCUAGUUGGUAAGGUAACGGCUUACCAAGGCAACGAUGCAUAGCCGACCUGAGAGGGUAGUCGGCCACACUGGAACUGAGACACGGUCCAGACUCCUACGGGAGGCAGCAGUAGGGAUUCUUCCGCAAUGGGCGGAAGCCUGACGGAGCAACGCCGCGUGAGUGAUGAAGGUCUUAGGAUCGUAAAACUCUGUUAUUAGGGAAGAACAUAUGUGUAAGUAACUAUGCACAUCUAGACGGUACCUAAUCAGAAAGCCACGGCUAACUACGUG